GAUGAACGCUGGCGGCGUGCUUAACACAUGCAAGUCGAACGGAAAGGCCCUGCUUGCGGGGUACUCGAGUGGCGAACGGGCGAGUAAGACGUGGGUGAUCUGCCCUGCACUUCGGGAUAAGUUUGGGCGACUGGGUCUAAUACCGGAUAGGAGCUAUCUUUAGCGGGGUGGUUGAAAAGUUUUUGCGGUGUAGGAUGAGCUCGCGACCUAUCAGCUUGUUGGUGGGGUAAGGGCCUACCAGGGCGGCGAGGGGUAGCCGGCCUGAGAGGAUGUACGGCCACACUGGAACUGAGAUGCGGCCCAGACUCCGAAGGGUGGCGGCAGUGGGGAAUAUUUCACAAUGCGCGCCAGCCUGAUGCAUCGACGCCGCGUGGGCGAUGAAGGCCUUCGGGUGGUAAACACCUUUCGCUAGGGAAGAAGCUUUGUUGUGACGGUACCUAGAUAAGAAGCAACGGCUAACUACGUG
RNAcentral lists this ribosomal RNA (466 nucleotides) under uncultured bacterium. RNAcentral's name for it is "partial 16S ribosomal RNA". It matches the Rfam family "Bacterial small subunit ribosomal RNA", at positions 28 to 507 of the family's 1533-position model. The record is from RNAcentral.